AUCAUUUCAAUCACUUUGUUUCGAUGUUUAUCACUUUUGCUCUUAUUAAAAUAAAAUGUGCACCUCUAAUAUUCCUGUGCUCCUCAAAUUUCAGUUUGUCACUUGGAAGUGAACAGAUAUGUCUGUUUAGUCUUGUUGUAGCAGUAUAAUUCUCUGAGUUUCGAUUGGGAAAAUUCAAAUGACUUCGAAAAUUAACAGAUAAUAUUUGUUUCAUUCAUUGCAGUAAGCAUAAUUUGAUAUUUAAGUGAUAGUGCUUAUGAAUUGGUAGAAUUAUCGGACUAUCUCGGAAGUGUCAGAAUCAUACUUAAUUAUCUAUGAACAUAAUAUAUCCUAUGUGACCAUAGUAAUACGUGCCCCAUUGUUUAAAAGCACUUGACCUGGUUGUUUGCCAUUACAUUUGCUUCGAGAAGUUCUUCAAUCUAUGUUAUUGCAAUACACACUAAAUAAUCUGAAGGCAUCGCUCUUUUCUUCUGCCAUAUUUUUGGAUGGCUUGUGAAACAAAGAUCUAUUUUCACACAUUAUCACUAUGUCUGUAAGCCAGACAAUCAAAAUUACCAUUGAGAAAUGUCGACAGAUAAAACCUCGACAUAAAAAAAAUAUCUUAGUUUAAAGGUAUAUUUUAAACCGUUUCGACAAAAGUUAUAUGUUUCAGCCAACAAGAAGUAUGUUGAGUUAUAUGGUUCAGCCAACAAAUGAUAUAUGGAUUGACUGAGUGUGUUGAUCGAGUCCACCUCUGUUGGACUCCUGCUUUUUUGAGUUACCUUUUGUUCAUUGUUGUUACCAAGUAGAAAUAUUCCAGCCUUUGAGCACUAAAGUGCAUCCUUCAUAUUUUCUCCGAGGUUCGUUUUCUUGGAUAACCAUGUGUAUGUUCUUGGUUAACCAUGGAUCAUAUUUUCUCAUAGUUGGUUCCUCUGUUUACUCAUAAUAGUGUAGCCUUCUAGAUUAUGUACGAGUUCUGUAUAGAGUUACUAAUGUAGUUCUUGUAUACGACUCUGAUGCAGCCAAAAGAGUCCAGUGAGGAAUGGACUAUUUUUGCUAUUAUAUAUUUGUCUUGUGUUGUGAAUGAGGAAAUGGAGUUAUUAGUCCAAGUAUCAUUUUUCAUCAGGUGUUCAUGGACAAUUGUUCACGCUCUUCUCAGAUUAUGGGCAUAUGAGCUCACACGGUUUCAGUUAUAGUGUCAUCAGACCGUGGCAGUAGGUAGUGUCAUGUUAAUGUGAGACUUUGAGAUAGAUCUAGGGAACUAAAUAAAUGUAGACUUUCACAGGAGAUGAAUAAAUUGUGGUUAGUGUAUAAGUGACACAAUUUCGGCUAGAGAAAAAAGGGAACCUUCUUAUAUAUAUAAUAUGCGUAACGAAUUAUUUUCCCCACGAUGAUUCAAAAUUGAGCUAUGCAUGUUUCCAGUCCUUCUCACUGUGUUAUUCGUGCAUUCUAGAUGUAUUACUUCAGUAUUCAGGGUGAGGUUACUACUAACUAACCAAAGAAAGAGAGAUGGUUCUGUUCUAUUCAAGUUUUUUCUGCAUUCUAUUUUUGUGAAACAAUUACCGGAAGAAGAUUUAUCCCUAUAAAAUAAAGUAUGUUAUUACGACAGGUUUUGUGACUAUUUGAGUUAGUUUUACAUUGAAAGUUAUUUACCUUGGUGCAAAAUUUCGCAGCGGAUUUUUUUAUUCGAUGAAAAGUGACCAGUAGCAGAGGGACAUUUCUAAUGCCCACUGCCAUUUGAUGAAACACAGGUAUACAAUCUCUUUUCGCUAUUCCAAAGUUCAUCUUCAGGUACAUUUUUCAGAUAUAUCAGGAUGGUGGAACUGGAUGCAACCUUAUGUCGUAGGCUGAUCAGAACUCAAGAAACUAGCAGACCGCAAUGAUGGUUACCAUCCAGGAUCGUCGGCAGACGUUGAGUAUAGAAGUGUUAUUUGGACUCACCAAAAAAGAUUUGUUCCUUCAAUUAUUAUUGUAUGUAGCUCCAGCCUUUUGUUAACCGGUGAUGGAUCCAGAGGCAGAAGAGUUUGGGCCACUCACAGUGAUGGAACGCUACAACACAGGUGUUAAUCUGGAAGUGGAUGAUUAGCAAAUUCCUGCAGAAUCGUUCCAGAAGGGUUUCAAUGUUCCAUUAUAAAUUUGAGAACAUUUUCAGAGAAUGCACACAUAAGUACCAUCAUUUGAGUUCUAUAAUGUACCUAUGGUAGUAGUAUGCUUAAGUAAUGUUUUGUACCCAUGAUAUUGCUGGUCUACUUUAUUUAUGUAUAAAUUAGUUCGUACUUG
Lolium perenne is the source of this 2259-nucleotide non-coding RNA. Lineage: Eukaryota; Viridiplantae; Streptophyta; Magnoliopsida; Poales; Poaceae. The record is from RefSeq and is a predicted model, not a curated record.